ACGAAACCGACUGGAGCAUAUACCUAGAGCACGGACUGACGCGGACCAGGGUGUGGUCGGCCGCCGCUUGCAGCGUAGUGCUAGCCCGUAUGGACGAUAUGAUAGUGGUGCUGCAAGAGCGUAAUGGAUUUGUUUGUACUGUCAGGGCCUGCAAGCGCCGUGGGGAGGGGGGGGGCCACGCGGGCGUGAGGGAGCUUGUGAAUCCAUCCUCCCUCGCGCGCACACCGCAUGGCAAAUGAGUCUGUGUGGUGCUAUCGCCUUGGCCGGGCGCCCGGAGCGUGAGGAAUGCGCGUCAGCAAAACAUCGACACAACCUGCCAGCUACCGUCGGUACAGUAACAGCGCGCGAACGACGCACCAAUGCCUUGUCCCUUCUUGCUACGCAUUUAUGUGGGCACGGGUGGGAGCCACACACAUCGGGACUACGCUUUCCUGCCCCUUGCCAUGUUCCAUCACGACC
Molecule: long non-coding RNA, 459 nt
Filed under: Chlamydomonas reinhardtii
Lineage: Eukaryota; Viridiplantae; Chlorophyta; Chlorophyceae; Chlamydomonadales; Chlamydomonadaceae
Description: long non-coding RNA (CREI_LNC000045)
Source: RNAcentral